UACGAAGGGGGCUAGCGUUGUUCGGAAUUACUGGGCGUAAAGCGCACGUAGGCGGAUUGGCAAGUCAGGGGUGAAAUCCCGGGGCUCAACCUCGGAACUGCCUUUGAUACUGCCAGUCUAGAGUCCGGAAGAGGUGGGUGGAAUUCCUAGUGUAGAGGUGAAAUUCGCAGAUAUUAGGAAGAACACCGGUGGCGAAGGCGGCCCACUGGUCCGGUACUGACGCUGAGGUGCGAAAGCGUGGGGAGCAAACAGG
RNAcentral lists this ribosomal RNA (253 nucleotides) under uncultured bacterium. RNAcentral's name for it is "partial 16S ribosomal RNA". It matches the Rfam family "Bacterial small subunit ribosomal RNA", at positions 524 to 776 of the family's 1533-position model. The record is from RNAcentral.